GGGGGGUGCAAGCGUUGUUCGGAUUUAUUGGGCGUAAAGCGCGUGUAGGCGGUUUCUUAAGUCUGAUGUGAAAGCCCUGGGCUCAACCCGGGAAGUGCAUUGGAUACUGGGAGACUUGAAUACGGGAGAGGGUAGUGGAAUUCCUAGUGUAGGAGUGAAAUCCGUAGAUAUUAGGAGGAACACCGGUGGCGAAGGCGGCUACCUGGACCGAUAUUGACGCUGAGACGCGAAAGCGUGGGGAGCAAACAGGAUUAGAUACCCUGGUAGUCCACGCCGUAAACGAUGAGAACUAGGUGUUGCGGGUAUUGACCCCUGCAGUGCCGCGGCUAACGCAUUAAGUUCUCCGCCUGGGAAGUACGGUCGCAAGACUA
This 371-nucleotide ribosomal RNA is filed under the name uncultured bacterium. RNAcentral's name for it is "bacterial SSU rRNA". It matches the Rfam family "Bacterial small subunit ribosomal RNA", at positions 527 to 896 of the family's 1533-position model. The record is from RNAcentral.